UUGUCUUCAAGUAACAACCAUCUACCCUAAUGAAUGGUUUGCAACUACCUAAAAAUCCCUCCUUACAACCAUCUAAACACAUGUAAAAUGACCUAAACCUUGGUGGCAAGGUAGGUUGGGAUUGAUUGCUUAAAGGUUCAAGCCUUCACUCUUAACAACUCAGUCACAUAAUCAUAAAGACGACAAUAUUCUCUCUUCCUCCACCGCCUCAUUGUCCAUCCCAAACCCAUCAUCAUCAUUUGUCAUUCUCUCCUCUUCACUAUCAUCAACAUUUUCCACCUCUUCGCCCUCAACGACAUUAACAUCUUCCUUUUGUUCUUCCUCUUGCUCUUGCUCUUCCUCUUCCACCAUUUCUCCAUCAACAUACCCCUCUUCCUCUUCGUCAUCCAUUAGGAAGUCUUCUACUUCCACAUUUCCCUCCAUCCUACCAAAAUCUUCUUCAUCCACUGCUUCACCUUCUUCAACAACAUAACCAUGUUCUUCAUCCAUUAUAACCCCUUCCUCCAUCUCCUAUACUUGUAUUUCCUCUGCCUCUUUACCAAAUGUAAGAAAAUUAACUUCAAUUGCCAGACUGGGUGGAGAUG
This 584-nucleotide long non-coding RNA is filed under the name Vigna radiata. RNAcentral describes it as "long non-coding RNA (VRAD_LNC014333)". Lineage: Eukaryota; Viridiplantae; Streptophyta; Magnoliopsida; Fabales; Fabaceae. The record is from RNAcentral.